Molecule: ribosomal RNA, 478 nt
Filed under: uncultured bacterium
Lineage: Bacteria
Description: partial 16S ribosomal RNA
Rfam family: Bacterial small subunit ribosomal RNA
Source: RNAcentral
GACGAACGCUGGCGGCGUGCUUAACACAUGCAAGUCGAACGGGAUUUAGUAAACAGAAGCCUCGGUGGAAGAUUACUAAUCAGAGUGGCGAACGGGUGAGUAACGCGUGAGCAACCUGCCUAUGACAGUGGGAUAGCCUCGGGAAACCGGGAUUAAUACCGCAUAAAAUCGUAGAAACACAUGUUUUAACGGUCAAAGAUUUAUCGGUCAUAGAUGGGCUGGCGUCUGAUUAGCUAGUUGGUGAGAUAACAGCCCACCAAGGCGACGAUCAGUAGCCGGUCUGAGAGGAUGAACGGCAACAUUGGAACUGAGACACGGUCCAAACUCCUACGGGAGGCAGCAGAGGGGAAUAUUGCACAAUGGGGGAAACCCUGAUGCAGCGACGCCGCGUGAACGAAGAAGGUAUUCGUAUCGUAAAGUUCUGUCCUAUGGGAAGAUAAUGACAGUACCAUAGAAGAAAGCGCCGGCUAAAUACGUG